UAUUCCUACGGGAGGCAGCAGUGGGGAAUAUUGCACAAUGAGGGAAACCCUGAUGCAGCGACGCCGCGUGAGUGAAGAAGCGUUUCGGCGCGUAAAGCUCUGUCAGCGGGGAAGAAACACGGUUCGCGAGAGCCGCGGACGGUACCCGACCAAGAAGCCCCGGCUAACUACGUGCCAGCAGCCGCGGUAAUACGUAGGGGGCAAGCGUUAUCCGGAUUUACUGGGUGUAAAGGGAGCGUAGACGGCAGUGCAAGUCUGGUGUGAAAGGCGGGGGCUCAACCCCCGGACUGCUCUGGAAACUGUAG
RNAcentral lists this ribosomal RNA (305 nucleotides) under uncultured bacterium. RNAcentral describes it as "bacterial SSU rRNA". It matches the Rfam family "Bacterial small subunit ribosomal RNA", at positions 334 to 638 of the family's 1533-position model. The record is from RNAcentral.